RNAcentral lists this ribosomal RNA (597 nucleotides) under Morganella sp. (in: enterobacteria). RNAcentral's name for it is "bacterial SSU rRNA". It matches the Rfam family "Bacterial small subunit ribosomal RNA", at positions 557 to 1156 of the family's 1533-position model. The record is from RNAcentral. Lineage: Bacteria; Pseudomonadati; Pseudomonadota; Gammaproteobacteria; Enterobacterales; Morganellaceae.
GGCGUAAAGCGCACGCAGCGGGUUUGUUGAAGUCAGAUGUGAAAAUCCCCGGGCUUAACCCGGGAAUUGCAUUUGAUACUGGUCAGCUAGAGUCUUGUAGAGGGGGGUAGAAUUCCAGGUGUAGCGGUGAAAUGCGUAGAGAUCUGGAGGAAUACCGGUGGCGAAGGCGGCCCCCUGGACGAAGACUGACGCUCAGGUGCGAAAGCGUGGGGAGCAAACAGGAUUAGAUACCCUGGUAGUCCACGCUGUAACGAUGUCGUUUUGGAGGUUGUGCCCUUGAGGCGUGGCUUCCGAAGCUUCGCGUUAAGUCGUCCGCCUGGAGAGUACGGCCGCAAGGUUUUUCUCAAAUGAAUACGGGGGCCCGCUCAUGCGGUGGUGCAUGUGGUUUUUUUCGUUGCUUCGGGUGUACUUACCUACUCUUGAAUCCAGUGACUUUCCGUGUUGGUUUGGUGCCUUAGGAACUCUGUGAAAGGUGCUGCAUGGCUGACGACAGCUCGUGAUGUAAAAUGGAUGGGGAUAAAUCCCGCAAACGUGCGCUCCCCUUUUCCUUUUGUUGACAAACGAAUCAUGCGGGAAACCCCAAGGGGUACUGGCCGG